AGCUCAUCCAGAGGGGCAGAGGGAAACGGCCCGAUGAAGCCCCGGCAACCCUCCAGUCGGCUCUCGUAGCGAUCACUGCCGUAACACCGCUGAUCGUCUCCGCGAGGCUCCCGGCUAGGGAAGGUGCCAAAUCCGUCUCACGGCGAGAUGCGUCGUGAGGAAGAUGAGGA
Molecule: non-coding RNA, 170 nt
Filed under: Streptomyces regalis
Lineage: Bacteria; Bacillati; Actinomycetota; Actinomycetes; Kitasatosporales; Streptomycetaceae
Description: SAM-I sequence
Rfam family: SAM riboswitch aptamer (S box leader)
About the family: The SAM riboswitch is found upstream of a number of genes which code for proteins involved in methionine or cysteine biosynthesis in Gram-positive bacteria. The SAM riboswitch acts at the level of transcription termination control. The predicted structure consists of a complex stem-loop region followed by a single stem loop terminator region.
Source: Rfam by way of RNAcentral